RNAcentral lists this ribosomal RNA (490 nucleotides) under uncultured bacterium. RNAcentral describes it as "bacterial SSU rRNA". It matches the Rfam family "Bacterial small subunit ribosomal RNA", at positions 28 to 517 of the family's 1533-position model. The record is from RNAcentral.
GACGAACGCUGGCGGCGUGCCUAACACAUGCAAGUCGAGCGUGAAGCUUAUGAACGAGCCUUCGGGUGAGUGAUUAAGUGGAAAGCGGCGGACGGGUGAGUAACGCGUGAGCAAUCUGCCUCAGGGAGGGGAUAACACAGAGAAAUCUGUGCUAAUACCGCAUGACAUAUCGGAACCACAUGAUUCUGAUAUCAAAACUCCGGUGCCCUGAGAUGAGCUCGCGUCCGAUUAGCUAGUUGGUGAGGUAAUGGCUCACCAAGGCGACGAUCGGUAGCCGGACUGAGAGGUUGAACGGCCACAUUGGGACUGAGACACGGCCCAGACUCCUACGGGAGGCAGCAGUGGGGGAUAUUGCGCAAUGGGGGAAACCCUGACGCAGCAACGCCGCGUGAAGGGAAGAAGGUCUUCGGAUUGUAAACUUUUGUCUUCCGGGACGAAUAAUGAACGGUACCGGAGGAGGAAGCCACGGCUAACUACGUGCCAGCAGCCG